RNAcentral lists this ribosomal RNA (414 nucleotides) under uncultured bacterium. Its description in RNAcentral is "bacterial SSU rRNA". It matches the Rfam family "Bacterial small subunit ribosomal RNA", at positions 355 to 776 of the family's 1533-position model. The record is from RNAcentral.
UGGGGAAUUUUUCGCAAUGGGGGCAACCCUGACGAAGCAAUGCCGCGUGGGUGAUGAAGCAUCUCGGUGCGUAAAACCCUUUCGACGGGGACGAAAGCCGCAAGGUUUGACGGUACCCGUAGAAGAAGCCCCGGCUAACUCCGUGCCAGCAGCCGCGGUAAUACGGGGGGGGCAAGCGUUGUUCGGAAUUACUGGGCGUAAAGGGUGCGUAGGCGGCUUUCUAAGUUGGAUGUGAAAACUCUGGGCUUAACCCAGAGCCUGCAUCCAAAACUGGAAGGCUAGGGUUCUGGAGGGGAAAGCGGAAUUCCUGGUGUAGCGGUGAAAUGCGUAGAUAUCAGGAGGAACACCGGUGGCGAAGGCGGCUUUCUGGACAGAUACCGACGCUGAGGCACGAAAGCUAGGGGAGCAAACAGG